This 239-nucleotide long non-coding RNA is filed under the name Hordeum vulgare. RNAcentral's name for it is "long non-coding RNA (HVUL_LNC002086)". Lineage: Eukaryota; Viridiplantae; Streptophyta; Magnoliopsida; Poales; Poaceae. The record is from RNAcentral.
AAUACAAUAAAGCAAAGCUUGAUCAAAGAAUUAUUAGGUGUUAGAAAAGUUGUCAUACCCUUUGUAGUUCUACUAUGACACAUGUUUAACACUGUUAUGUAAUACCCAGUACAAUUAAAACUAAAACAUAUACAUAUCUACACUCCAGUCGGAUCUUCAAACAUGAGUAGUAGUGUAGUACUACUGAGUACUAAUACCUCUUUGUAGGCCGUAUUCUCGUCAAAGUGCACUUCUGCACC